This 491-nucleotide ribosomal RNA is filed under the name uncultured bacterium. RNAcentral describes it as "partial 16S ribosomal RNA". It matches the Rfam family "Bacterial small subunit ribosomal RNA", at positions 29 to 506 of the family's 1533-position model. The record is from RNAcentral.
AGUGAACGCUGGCGGUAGGCCUAACACAUGCAAGUCGAACGGCAGCACAGUAAGAGCUUGCUCUUACGGGUGGCGAGUGGCGGACGGGUGAGGAAUACAUCGGAAUCUACUUUUUCGUGGGGGAUAACGUGGGGAAACUUACGCUAAUACCGCAUACGACCUACGGGUGAAAGCAGGGGAUCUUCGGACCUUGCGCGAUUGAAUGAGCCGAUGUCGGAUUAGCUAGUUGGCGGGGUAAAGGCCCACCAAGGCGACGAUCCGUAGCUGGUCUGAGAGGAUGAUCAGCCACACUGGAACUGAGACACGGUCCAGACUCCUACGGGAGGCAGCAGUGGGGAAUAUUGGACAAUGGGCGCAAGCCUGAUCCAGCCAUACCGCGUGGGUGAAGAAGGCCUUCGGGUUGUAAAGCCCUUUUGUUGGGAAAGAAAAGAAGCAGGUUAAUACCCCGCUGUUCUGACGGUACCCAAAGAAUAAGCACCGGCUAACUUCGU